GAGGAUAUAGCUCAGUUGGUUUAGAGCGCUUGGUUGUGGCCCAAGAGGUCGCGGGUUCAAAUCCCGUUAUCCUCCCCA
RNAcentral lists this transfer RNA (78 nucleotides) under Nitrospirota bacterium. Its description in RNAcentral is "Nitrospirae bacterium (marine metagenome) tRNA-His". It matches the Rfam family "tRNA". From Rfam's summary of the family: Transfer RNA (tRNA) molecules are approximately 80 nucleotides in length. Lineage: Bacteria; Pseudomonadati; Nitrospirota. RNAcentral also lists the same sequence under 1 other name. The record is from RNAcentral.